RNAcentral lists this unclassified non-coding RNA (164 nucleotides) under uncultured Hypocreales. RNAcentral's name for it is "sequence contains ITS1". Lineage: Eukaryota; Fungi; Ascomycota; Sordariomycetes; Hypocreales. The record is from RNAcentral.
CCGAGUUUACAACUCCCAAACCCAAUGUGAACAUACCAAUACGUUGCCUCGGCGGGACCGCCCCCGGCGCCCUCCCGGGCCCGGGACAAAGGCGCCCGCCGCAGGACCCCAAACCUCUGUUUUUGUUAAGAUUUCUCCUCUGAGUGGAUUUUACAAAUAAAUCA